RNAcentral lists this unclassified non-coding RNA (269 nucleotides) under plant metagenome. Its description in RNAcentral is "partial contains small subunit ribosomal RNA, internal transcribed spacer 1, and 5.8S ribosomal RNA". The record is from RNAcentral.
UUUCCGUAGGUGAACCUGCGGAAGGAUCAUUAAUGAGUUGUCAUGGGGUUCGAUGCUGGCAGCCAAUUUUUGGAUGCAUGUGCUUGCCCUAACAAUCAUCUUCCAAACACCUGUGCACAUUUUUGAGGGAGUCUUGAGUUGGUUGCCGCUCUUGGGUGAUUUUCUCACAUUCCCUUAAAUCAUUAUACGCUAUUAACAAUGUUGAACGUGCUCUGUGCCGCAAGGCCAUUAAUAUAAUACAACUUUUAACAACGGAUCUCUUGGCUCUC